AUACGAGGGGUGCAAGCGUUAAUCGGAAUUACUGGGCGUAAAGCGUUCGUAGGCGGUUUGUUAAGCAAGAUGUGAAAGCCCUGGGCUCAACCUGGGAACUGCAUUUUGAACUGGCAAACUAGAAUACUGUAGAGGGUGGUGGAAUUUCCAGUGUAGCGGUGAAACGCGUAGAGAUUGGAAGGAACAUCAGUGGCGAAGGCGGCCACCUGGACAGAUAUUGACGCUGAGGAACGAAAGCGUGGGGAGCGAACAGGAUUAGAAACCCUGGUAGUCC
RNAcentral lists this ribosomal RNA (274 nucleotides) under uncultured bacterium. Its description in RNAcentral is "partial 16S ribosomal RNA". It matches the Rfam family "Bacterial small subunit ribosomal RNA", at positions 523 to 796 of the family's 1533-position model. The record is from RNAcentral.